UUGGAGAUAAGAUAAAGCCAAUCUGUGGUGAGAAAGGUCAGCAAUAGCUGCAGGAAAGCAAUGCCAAGAAACUUCUUUGAUAAUGAAAAUGUUCUCAAGCUCUGUGCUAUAGUUUGGAUCUGCAGUGCUCCUCAAAGUCCCAUGUAUGAAAGGCAUGGUCCCCAGCUUGGUGCUUUUGGGACAUGAUGAAAUCUUUAAGAGGUGGGUCCUACCAGGAGGUCUUCAGGACAUUUAAGGUCUUUUCCGAGCUGUCAAAAUUCCUAUCAAGCUAGCCAUGAUGGUGCGGUCCUGUGACCCCAGGUCAGGCAUGUGUAUCCCAAGCUUGAGGACAAUUUGGACAACUGCCUCAAAAUAAAAAAAAAAAAAAAGAAACGUAAAAAAUAAAGAGACUGAAGAUGGAAUCCUGGGCCUUGCACAUGCUAGGUAACUAAAGAUUACCUUUAACAGGGUUUUCCAAACUUCAGUCACCCCAUCUUUGCAUCAAAUUUGUACACAAAAGUAUACAUUACUGAAACUUUUCUUGGGCCAGGGAUGUAGCUCAGCAGCACAGCAUCUACCUUGCAAGUGCA
This is a long non-coding RNA of Octodon degus (degu), 569 nucleotides long. RefSeq lists it as uncharacterized. The transcript has 3 exons. The record is from RefSeq and is a predicted model, not a curated record. NCBI's taxonomy places the organism in Eukaryota, Metazoa, Chordata, Mammalia, Rodentia, Octodontidae.